RNAcentral lists this long non-coding RNA (1052 nucleotides) under Homo sapiens (human). Its description in RNAcentral is "non-protein coding lnc-ATP1B2-2:1". Lineage: Eukaryota; Metazoa; Chordata; Mammalia; Primates; Hominidae. The record is from RNAcentral.
UGCAAUCUCAGCUCACUGCAACUUCCGCAUCCCAGGUUCAAGCGAUUCUCCCGCCUCAGGUUCCCGAGUAGCUGGGACUACAGGCAUGUGCCACCAUGCCCGGCUAAUUUCUUUCUUUCUUUUUUUUUUUUUUUGCAUUUUUUAGUAGAGAUGGGGGUUUCUCCUUGUUGGUCAGGCUGGUCUCGAACUCCCGACCUCAGGUGAUCCACCUGCCUCGGCCUCCCAAAGUGUUGGGAUUACAGGCGUGAGCCACCGCGCCCGGCCUUCAGUUUCUUCCUAGGCCGUUCUGUCACCCAAAUAGCUGCUACCCAGAGGGGCGGGGUUGACCUAGGCUGAAUAUCCACUUUGUUUUUAUGGAUGGCUCCCUUCCCCCAUUCGCCUUCCCAGAAUAUCCUUCAAGUUCCACUUCCCAGGGAGCUCUGGGGGAGGGGCGGCCAUUCUGGCUCCGUCCCCAGUGGCCACCUUGGAAACAUCGGCUGGCUUUGGGACUAUUCCACCUCCUUCCCCUGAGCCCAGAUCUGCCCCCACCAUCCUUUCUCUGGCUUCUUUUAGCAAGUUAUCAACUAAUCACUAACUCCUUCCUUUUCCUCUGCAUGCCAGCCUGAAAAUUCCAAAUCUAGCCUCUGAAUGUCUUGGCUCCAUCUCUUCAGACCCCUUUGCCUUUAAAAAAAAAACAAAAACAAAAACAAAAAAACCCAUAAUGCCCACAGAAUGUCAAAUGAGGGGCCUCCUGCCUCCUGCUCUGAAUAUUCUGUAGCUGUAGAGGCAUUUUAACCCUUUGUCCUCCAGCAUCCCUUCACUUCCUCAUCCUCUCUAACCUCCUUUUUCUUUUUUUAAUGCUGCAGCCUCCACACUCCACCCACAGGUGGACCCUUCCCUUUUUCUCUAGCUGGAUCUGUGUUUCUUCCCUUCGGGCCCCCAUGUUUUCCUGCACCCGCCCUACCAUGGUCUCUCUCUGCAGUUAUUUAAUGCCUGUGUCAGAUCUACUGUAAAAAGAGGAUUAAGUAAAAUAAAAUGAGAGCAAUUAUAUAUAUAAAUAUAUAUCAUACACA